This 993-nucleotide long non-coding RNA is filed under the name Bos indicus x Bos taurus (hybrid cattle). Its description in RNAcentral is "lncRNA (ENSBIXG00005028003.1)". Lineage: Eukaryota; Metazoa; Chordata; Mammalia; Artiodactyla; Bovidae. The record is from RNAcentral.
CUUUGACAAGCAUUAAUGUCUUAUCCAAGCCAUGGGAAUGUGAAUGUGAGAAUAUGGCAAAGGAUGCUCUGCACAGGUUUCUGAAAAGCUCCCUCCAAUUUCACACUAAUCCAUUAAUCACUGUUUUUUAAACUGUUCUAUUUCAGCAAUAAAAGACAAAGGCCAAGCUAAGCCAAGAGCUAGAAAACAGAAACAAAGUCAAAACAAGAAAAAAACGAACAAAACAGAACAGAACCCAAGACUGAAGCCCAUCAGAAGCCAGAAAAAGUAGGAGGCAGUUGAUAUGACUGAAUCAUCUCUGCUGGCUAGGACACUUUGGUCUCUGAGAUCAGCAGAGGCAGUGGUUUCUCUGCUCUCUGCUUCAGAAAUAUUUCUGCUUCUCUCCUCAUGGUCAGAGAGAUCUUCAGAGUACUUGAGAAAUUGUUCCAAUUUGAGCCCAUCAAAUAAGCAGCAGCACUGGUUUGGAAAAGAAUCCCAAUUGAAGGCUUGAGAAGAUUUACUCUCCAAAGGUCAUUUUGAAAGCUGUCCUUAAGGCUUGGUUGGGUGUGCUUUGCUUCCAAGCUGAGCUAUGGAUGAACUAUCCUGCCAGCAGUCCUGGAUUUGGGAGUCAAGAGAGGGCAAGAACAGAGCAGGGCAGGACUCCAUGUCUGCUGGUGUCCACGAGACACAUUUGGCAAGCACUCCCAAAUCCAAACUUUCACAGAGCAUCAGAAAUCACUGGAAGCCAUGGGUUCCUUCUGAGUUCUCUCUCUUUGCUGAUACUGUUCGCAACCUCCAAGAGCCAGCUAGACCAGAGACUUUGGAAUCCUCUUCAAUCCCCCUUCCUCAUCCACUCACACAUGGUACACAGUACUUUAAAAGGAAGAAAAAUUUAUAAGGCCUUUGACUGACAACCUACAAAAGCAAAAGCUGAGUAAGGAUACCAACACUUGAAUCCAAGGAUAAUGGAAAAAUAACAUCUGACUGGAAUAAAUGGAUCACAUAUAUAAGCCA